RNAcentral lists this ribosomal RNA (505 nucleotides) under Microascales sp. SSR-2012a. RNAcentral describes it as "eukaryotic LSU rRNA". It matches the Rfam family "Eukaryotic large subunit ribosomal RNA", at positions 86 to 597 of the family's 3401-position model. The record is from RNAcentral. Lineage: Eukaryota; Fungi; Ascomycota; Sordariomycetes; Microascales.
ACGGCGAGUGAAGCGGCAAAAGCUCAAAUUUGAAAUCUGGUCCCCUUUGGGGGCCCGAGUUGUAAUUUGAAGAGGAUGAUUUUGGCGAGGCGCCUUCCGAGUGCCCUGGAACGGGACGCCACAGAGGGUGAGAGCCCCGUAUGGUCGGACGCCGAGCCUAUGUAAAUCUCCUUCUACGAGUCGAGUAGUUUGGGAAUGCUGCUCAAAAUGGGAGGUAAACCCCUUCUAAAGCUAAAUACCGGCCAGAGACCGAUAGCGCACAAGUAGAGUGAUCGAAAGAUGAAAAGCACUUUGAAAAGAGAGUUAAACAGCACGUGAAAUUGUUGAAAGGGAAGCGCUUGCGACCAGACUUGCGCCCGUCGGAUCAACCGUCCCUCGUGGGCGGCGCACUCCGGCGGGCUCAGGCCAGCAUCAGUUUUCCGGGGGGGAGAAAGGCGGUUGGAAUGUAGCUCUUCGGAGUGUUAUAGACUUCCGCGUAAUACCCCCUGGGGGACUGAGGACCGCG